UGAGUCGGGUCCUAAGGCGAGGCCGACAGGCGUAGUCGAAUGGAUGAACGGGUCGAUAUUCCCGUACCGGCUUUCAGCCGCCAAAACCGAGGCUUGGAGUACUAACCUCCGGGUCCGGGCUUACUGCUCCUUCGGGGGCGGGAUGCCUUGGCCUGUUGGGACCGAUCCUUGUAGUAGGUCAGCGCAGGAGUGACGCAGAAGGGUAGCCGGCCGCGGAGGUGGUCUUCCGUGGUCAAGCACGCAGGGCGUGGGACAGGCAAAUCCGUCCCGCAUGGGUCCGAGGUGCGAUGAUGGGGGCCUUAUGGCCCGAUAUCCGGUGAUCCCGGCUGCCGAGAAAAGCUUCGGCGUCAGGCUCAAAGCCGCCCGUACCCCAAACCGACACUGGUGGUCAGGUAGAGAAUACCAAAGCGAUCGAGCGAAUCCUGGUCAAGGAACUCGGCAAAUCACUCCCGUUCCUUCGGUUUAAGGGAGACCCCCGAUGGUGAACACACUUGCUGUGGGAGCUUUUGGGGGUGGCACAGACCAGGGGGUAGCGACUGUUUACCAAAAACACAGGUGCAUGCGAAGGCGCAAGCCGCUGUAUAUGCACUGACGCCUGCCCGGUGCCGGAAGGUUAAGAGGAUCCGUCAGCCUUCGGGUGAAGCGGUGAAUUCAAGCCCCGGUAAACGGCGGUGGUAACUAUAACCAUCCUAAGGUAGCGAAAUUCCUUGUCGGGUAAGUUCCGACCUGCACGAAUGGCGUAACGACUUCCCCACUGUCUCGACCAGGAGCUCGGCGAAAUUGCAGUACGAGUAAAGAUGCUCGUUAAGCGCAGAAGGACGAAAAGACCCCGGGACCUUUACUAUACCUUGGUAUUGGCAUUCGGUGUGGAUUGUGUAGCAUAGGCGGGAGGCCGAGAGGCGCGGUCGCCAGAUCGCGCGGAGCCGUAAGGUGAAAUACCGCUCUGUUCGCAUUGGAUGUCUAACCUCGAACAGUCAUCCUGUUCAGGGACAGUGCCUGGCGGGUAGUUUAACUGGGGCGGUUGCCUCCCAAAGAGUAACGGAGGCGCCCAAAGGUCCGCUCAGCCCGGUUGGCAAUCGGGUGGCGAGUGCAAGUGCACAAGCGGGCUUGACUGCGAGGACGACGGUCCGAGCAGGGACGAAAGUCGGGACUAGUGAUCCGGUGCCGGUGUACGGACGCGGCAUCGCUCAACGGAUAAAAGGUACCCCGGGGAUAACAGGCUGAUCAUUCCCAAGAGUCCAUAUCGACGGGAUGGUUUGGCACCUCGAUGUCGGCUCGUCGCAUCCUGGGGCUGGAGCAGGUCCCAA
RNAcentral lists this ribosomal RNA (1307 nucleotides) under human gut metagenome. Its description in RNAcentral is "bacterial LSU rRNA". It matches the Rfam family "Bacterial large subunit ribosomal RNA", at positions 1380 to 2568 of the family's 2925-position model. The record is from RNAcentral.